Molecule: non-coding RNA, 135 nt
Organism: Hordeum vulgare subsp. vulgare (domesticated barley)
Lineage: Eukaryota; Viridiplantae; Streptophyta; Magnoliopsida; Poales; Poaceae
Source: Rfam
UAAGCCCUCCAUUUGUCUCAAAAAAUUUGUCUUAGAUUUAUCUAGAUAUGAAUGUAUCUAGUGACGGUUUAAUAUUUAGAUACAUCCAUGUCUAGACAAACCUAAGACAAGAAUUUUAAGACAGAGGAGGCAGUA